RNAcentral lists this ribosomal RNA (255 nucleotides) under uncultured bacterium. Its description in RNAcentral is "partial 16S ribosomal RNA". It matches the Rfam family "Bacterial small subunit ribosomal RNA", at positions 526 to 779 of the family's 1533-position model. The record is from RNAcentral.
CGUAGGUCCCGAGCGUUGUCCGGAUUUAUUGGGGCGUAAAGCGAGCGCAGGCGGUUUAAUAAGUCUGAAGUUAAAGGCAGUGGCUUAACCAUUGUUCGCUUUGGAAACUGUUAGACUUGAGUGCAGAAGGGGGAGAGUGGAAUUCCAUGUGUAGCGGUGAAAUGCGUAGAUAUAUGGAGGAACACCGGUGGCGAAAGCGGCUCUCUGGUCUGUAACUGACGCUGAGGCUCGAAAGCGUGGGGAGCAAACAGGAUU